Nomascus leucogenys (northern white-cheeked gibbon) is the source of this 326-nucleotide long non-coding RNA. RefSeq lists it as uncharacterized. The record is from RefSeq and is a predicted model, not a curated record. NCBI's taxonomy places the organism in Eukaryota, Metazoa, Chordata, Mammalia, Primates, Hylobatidae. The transcript is spliced from 3 exons.
CUUAACCUUGAGUCCGUGUUCAUGUCGGUAUUUUCUUUCUAGGUGUUUCUCACCACAUAAAAUAUGUUAUAGUGUAGUUCAUCUAUUUCUCUUCCAUGGGUGAGUUCAUCUGGUAGAUUGGACUACCACUUUUCCUUGUCUCGAGUUCUUAUCCCGCAUCCAGGAGGAAUGAGGUUAUGCAGACACCUGGAAGGUGAGCAAGGCCGAGAAAAGCUUUACUGCGCAACUGGACAGCUCUCCGAAGAGAGGUGACCUGAAGCAGCCAUAAUUUUAGCUUGUCUAAACUUCUUACCUGGUGUGAUGAUCAAGAGCUUAAUCUCUGAAAG